RNAcentral lists this ribosomal RNA (251 nucleotides) under uncultured prokaryote. RNAcentral's name for it is "partial 16S rRNA". It matches the Rfam family "Bacterial small subunit ribosomal RNA", at positions 525 to 775 of the family's 1533-position model. The record is from RNAcentral.
ACGGAGGAUGCGAGCGUUAUCCGGAUUUAUUGGGUUUAAAGGGUGCGUAGGUGGACUGUUUAGUCAGUGGUGAAAUGCUGAUGCUCAACGUUAGCAUUGCCGUUGAAACUGACAGUCUUGAGAGUGAUUGAGGCAGGCGGAAUGUGUGGUGAAGCGGAAAAAAACAUAAAUAUCCCACAGAACCCAAAUGGCGAAGGCAUCGUGCAAAGCCACAACUGACACUGAAGCACGAAAGCGUGGGGAUCAAACAG